AGCAGCAGUGGGGAUAUUGCACAAUGGGGGAAACCCUGAUGCAGCCAUGCCGCGUGUGUGAAGAAGGCCUUCGGGUUGUAAAGCACUUUCAGUAGGGAGGAAAGGAUGUAGUUUAAUACGCUAUAUCUGUGACGUUACCUACAGAAGAAGGACCGGCUAACUCCGUGCCAGCAGCCGCGGUAAUACGGAGGGUCCGAGCGUUAAUCGGAAUUACUGGGCGUAAAGCGUGCGCAGGCGGUUUGUUAAGCGAGAUGUGAAAGCCCUGGGCUCAACCUAGGAAUAGCAUUUCGAACUGGCGAACUAGAGUCUUGUAGAGGGGGGUAGAAUUCCAGGUGUAGCGGUGAAAUGCGUAGAGAUCUGGAGGAAUACCGGUGGCGAAGGCGGCCCCCUGGACAAAGACUGACGCUCAUGCACGAAAGCGUGGGGAGCAAACAGGAUUAGAUACCCUGGUAGUCCACGCCGUAAACGAUGUCUACUCGGAGUUUGGUGUCUUGAACACUGGGCUCUCAAGCUAACGCAUUAAGUAGACCGCCUGGGGAGUACGGCCGCAAGGUUAAAACUCAAAUGAAUUGACGGGGCCCC
This 582-nucleotide ribosomal RNA is filed under the name Shewanella sp. RNAcentral describes it as "bacterial SSU rRNA". It matches the Rfam family "Bacterial small subunit ribosomal RNA", at positions 347 to 922 of the family's 1533-position model. The record is from RNAcentral. Lineage: Bacteria; Pseudomonadati; Pseudomonadota; Gammaproteobacteria; Alteromonadales; Shewanellaceae.